AGAGCGAACGCUGGCGGCAUACUUAACACAUGCAAGUCGCACGGGCAGGGGCAACCCUGUCAGUGGCGGACGGGUGAGUAACGCGUAGGUAUCUAUCCUUGGGUGGGGGACAACCGUGGGAAACUACGGCUAAUACCGCAUGAUGACUGAGGUCCAAAGCCCGCGAGGGUGCCUGGGGAGGAGCCUGCGUACGAUUAGCUAGUUGGUGGGGUAAAGGCCUACCAAGGCGAUGAUCGUUAGCUGGUCUGAGAGGAUGAUCAGCCACAUUGGGACUGAGACACGGCCCAAACUCCUACGGGAGGCAGCAGUGGGGAAUAUUGGACAAUGGGCGCAAGCCUGAUCCAGCAAUGCCGCGUGUGUGAAGAAGGUCUUCGGAUUGUAAAGCACUUUCGACGGGGACGAUGAUGACGGUACCGUAGAAGAGCCCCGGCUAACUUCGUGCCAGCAGCCGC
Molecule: ribosomal RNA, 452 nt
Filed under: uncultured bacterium
Lineage: Bacteria
Description: SSU rRNA
Rfam family: Bacterial small subunit ribosomal RNA
Source: RNAcentral